Molecule: transfer RNA, 88 nt
Filed under: Diplazium wichurae
Lineage: Eukaryota; Viridiplantae; Streptophyta; Polypodiopsida; Polypodiales; Athyriaceae
Description: tRNA-Ser
Rfam family: tRNA
About the family: Transfer RNA (tRNA) molecules are approximately 80 nucleotides in length. Their secondary structure includes four short double-helical elements and three loops (D, anti-codon, and T loops). Further hydrogen bonds mediate the characteristic L-shaped molecular structure. tRNAs have two regions of fundamental functional importance: the anti-codon, which is responsible for specific mRNA codon recognition, and the 3' end, to which the tRNAs corresponding amino acid is attached (by aminoacyl-tRNA synthetases). tRNAs cope with the degeneracy of the genetic code in two manners: having more than one tRNA (with a specific anti-codon) for a particular amino acid; and 'wobble' base-pairing, i.e. permitting non-standard base-pairing at the 3rd anti-codon position.
Source: RNAcentral
GGAGAGAUGGCCGAGGGGUCUAAAGCGUCGGAUUGCUAAUCCGUUGUACGAAUCAUACGUACCGAGGGUUCGAAUCCCUCUCUCUCCC